Erinaceus europaeus (western European hedgehog) is the source of this 103-nucleotide small nuclear RNA. NCBI's taxonomy places the organism in Eukaryota, Metazoa, Chordata, Mammalia, Eulipotyphla, Erinaceidae. The record is from Ensembl.
ACCUAUGGUAUAAUAGUUUUAUCUAAAAACUGGAGCAAUACACAGAUUAGUAUGGUCCCUGCACAAGGUGGACAGAAAAAUCCAUGAAGUGUCCUAUAUAUUU